RNAcentral lists this ribosomal RNA (171 nucleotides) under Cirrhilabrus temminckii (threadfin wrasse). RNAcentral's name for it is "partial 12S rRNA". The record is from RNAcentral. Lineage: Eukaryota; Metazoa; Chordata; Actinopteri; Labriformes; Labridae.
CGCCGCGGUUAGACGAGUCUUGGCUCUAGUUGACAGCUAACGGCGUAAAGGGUGGUUAAGGAACAUAUAUAAUAAAGUCGAAGACUUUCAUAACUGUUAUAAGUCAAUGAAGGUGCGAAGCUCAACGACAAAAGUGACUUUAUUCCCCCUGAACCCACUAAAGCUAUGACA